UAGGAUAUAUAAGAAGUAUAAUAGGAUAUAUAGAAAGUAUAAUAGGAUAUAUAGGUAUAAUAGUAUAAUAGGAUAUAUAGGUAUAAGAAGUAUAAUAGGAUAUAUAGGCAUUAGUAAGAAAGGAUGAAGUGGGGCAAUCUAUCCUAAAAUAUCCGUUUAACAAACAGCUGAUUUGUGGGGUCCGACAGUUUGUGAGGACCCUGAGGGAGAGCUGUUCUCUCUUUUCUCACAAUAUAACGAGUCGCACACACAGUCAUGCCAGGAGACAAUUUCCUCUCGCUCCAGGUGUGAAGAAAAACACUGAAGCAAAAAAAAAAAACUUUCCUGACACCCAGAAAAAAAAGAAAAAUGGGACGAGGUCUGGGAUCCAGACUCCGAUGGCCCAGUCCGUCCACGUUAACGUAAAACAGCGACUUGUAGGAAAUAAAAGCAAUAUAAAAACUUUACACACGGGGACUUUCUCUCUCCAAGAGAAGGAAAAGGGGUGUACAAAAAGGCUCAUUUUACACUCCAAUAUUUCAGAAAGGAAUCACGGACAUGUUUGCUUGCAGCCUGGAGCAUUUUGUCUUGUACUUCAUGCAGAAAUGUAAAACCAUAGGAUUCUGGGACGGUUACAUAACGGCGACCUCAUCCUUUUUGGAAAGCUGGGGACUUUUUUUUUUUUUUUCCCCCAGUGGUGCUUCCCACAGGAGAGUCUAAUAAAAGCGGACAGUUCACCAGCUCCAGUCUGGAUCAGACUACCAGUGUUUCAUAAAUAAUUAAACACCGGCACAUAGUUUCUGCAGCAAAAGAGAUCUUCAGAUAAGAGUUACGGUGGAAAAUAAAAAGUCUACACACCCCUGUUAAAAUGGCAAGUUGUUUACGAAGUGGUUUAAGUUGUAAGUUUGAUGUAAAAAAAAUAAGGAGAAAUAGAAUUUUUUUUUACAAUAACCCUG
Molecule: long non-coding RNA, 935 nt
Organism: Ictalurus punctatus (channel catfish)
Lineage: Eukaryota; Metazoa; Chordata; Actinopteri; Siluriformes; Ictaluridae
Source: Ensembl